AUUGAAUGAUAAGUGUAGAAUACACGAGCGGCGGACGGCUGAGUAACACGUAGGAACGUACCCCAAACUGAGGGAUAAGCACUGGAAACAGUGUCUAAUACCGCAUGUGAUCUUCGGAUUAAAGCUCCGGCGGUUUGGGAACGGCCUGCGCAUGAUUAGCUUGUUGGUGAGGUAAUAGCUCACCAAGGCGACGAUCAUUAGCUGGUCUGAGAGGAUGAUCAGCCAGACUGGGACUGAGAACGGCCCAGACUCCUACGGGAGGCAGCAGUAGGGAAUUUUCCACAAUGGGCGAAAGCCUGAUGGAGCAACGCCGCGUGCAGGAUGAAGGUCUUCGGAUUGUAAACUGCUUUUACGAGUGACGAAUAUGACGGUAGCUCGUGAAUAAGGAUCGGCUAACUCCGUGCCAGCAGCCGCGGUCAUACGGAGGAUCCAAGCGUUAUCCGGAAUUACUGGGCGUAAAGAGUUGCGUAGGUGGCAUAGUAAGCGAAUAGUGAAAGCGUGUGGCUCAGCCACAUAUACAUUAUUUGAACUGCUAAGCUAGAGGAUGAGAGAGGUUAUUGGAAUUCCCAGUGUAGGAGUGAAAUCCGUAGAUAUUGGGAGGAACACCGAUGGCGUAGGCAGAUAACUGGCUCAUUCCUGACACUAAGGCACGAAAGCGUGGGUAGCAAACGGGAUUAGAUACCCCGGUAGUCCACGCCGUAAACUAUGGAUGCUAGCUGUUAGAGGUAUCGACCCCUCUAGUAGCGAAGCUAACGCGUUAAGCAUCCCGCCUGUGGAGUACGGUCGCAAGACUAAAACAUAAGGAAUUGACGGGGACCCGCACAAGCGGUGGAGCGUGUUGUUUAAUUCGAUGGUAAACGAAGAACCUUACCCAGGUUUGACU
RNAcentral lists this ribosomal RNA (883 nucleotides) under uncultured Candidatus Saccharibacteria bacterium. RNAcentral describes it as "bacterial SSU rRNA". It matches the Rfam family "Bacterial small subunit ribosomal RNA", at positions 71 to 986 of the family's 1533-position model. Lineage: Bacteria; Candidatus Saccharimonadota. The record is from RNAcentral.